RNAcentral lists this ribosomal RNA (492 nucleotides) under uncultured bacterium. RNAcentral's name for it is "partial 16S ribosomal RNA". It matches the Rfam family "Bacterial small subunit ribosomal RNA", at positions 29 to 507 of the family's 1533-position model. The record is from RNAcentral.
AGUGAACGCUGGCGGUAGGCCUAACACAUGCAAGUCGAACGGCAGCACAGUAAGAGCUUGCUCUUACAGGUGGCGAGUGGCGGACGGGUGAGGAAUACAUCGGAAUCUACUUUUUCGUGGGGGAUAACGUAGGGAAACUUACGCUAAUACCGCAUACGACCUACGGGUGAAAGCAGGGGAUCAUCGGACCUUGCGCGAUUGAAUGAGCCGAUGUCGGAUUAGCUAGUUGGCGGGGUAAAGGCCCACCAAGGCGACGAUCCGUAGCUGGUCUGAGAGGAUGAUCAGCCACACUGGAACUGAGACACGGUCCAGACUCCUACGGGAGGCAGCAGUGGGGAAUAUUGGACAAUGGGCGCAAGCCUGAUCCAGCCAUACCGCGUGGGUGAAGAAGGCCUUCGGGUUGUAAAGCCCUUUUGUUGGGAAAGAAAAGCAGCAGGUUAAUACCCCGCUGUUCUGACGGUACCCAAAGAAUAAGCACCGGCUAACUUCGUG